GACGAACGCUGGCGGCGUGCUUAACACAUGCAAGUCGAACGGUAAGGCCCUUCGGGGUACACGAGUGGCGAACGGGUGAGUAACACGUGGGUGAUCUGCCCUGCACUUCGGGAUAAGCCUGGGAAACUGGGUCUAAUACCGGAUAGGACCCUGGGAUGCAUGUCCUGGGGUGGAAAGCUUUUGCGGUGUGGGAGGGGCCCGCGGCCUAUCAGCUUGUUGGUGGGGUGAUGGCCUACCAAGGCGACGACGGGUAGCCGGCCUGAGAGGGUGACCGGCCACACUGGGACUGAGAUACGGCCCAGACUCCUACGGGAGGCAGCAGUGGGGAAUAUUGCAUAAUGGGCGCAAGCCUGAUGCAGCGACGCCGCGUGAGGGAUGACGGCCUUCGGGUUGUAACCUCUUUCAGUAGGGAAGAAGCCGCAAGGUGACGGUACCUGCAGAAGAAGCGCCGGCUAACUACGUGCCAGCAGCCGCAGUAA
This 479-nucleotide ribosomal RNA is filed under the name uncultured bacterium. RNAcentral's name for it is "partial 16S ribosomal RNA". It matches the Rfam family "Bacterial small subunit ribosomal RNA", at positions 28 to 523 of the family's 1533-position model. The record is from RNAcentral.